RNAcentral lists this ribosomal RNA (372 nucleotides) under uncultured organism. RNAcentral's name for it is "partial 16S ribosomal RNA". It matches the Rfam family "Bacterial small subunit ribosomal RNA", at positions 527 to 896 of the family's 1533-position model. The record is from RNAcentral.
GUAGGUGGCAAGCGUUGUCCGGAAUUAUUGGGCGUAAAGCGCGCGCAGGCGGGUCCUUUAAGUCUGAUGUGAAAGCCCACGGGCUCAACCGUGGAGGGUCAUUGGAAACUGGGGGACUUGAGUACAGAGAGGAAGGCGGAAUUCCAAGUGUAGCGGUGAAAUGCGUGAGAUUUGGAGGAACACCAGUGGCGAAGGCGGCUUUCUGGUCUGUAACUGACGCUGAGGCGCGAAAGCGUGGGGAGCAAACAGGAUUAGAUACCCUGGUAGUCCACGCCGUAAACGAUGAGUGCUAAGUGUUAGGGGGUUUCCGCCCCUUAGUGCUGCAGCUAACGCAUUAAGCACUCCGCCUGGGGAGUACGGCCGCAAAGGCUG